GGAAACGCCAGGCUGGCCAGGCAGCCCACAUCCACCAGCAGCCCGGCGCGUCGGCACGGCGAAUUGGUGCUCCUGUGGCAGCGUCUGCAGACCAAUGCAGACAGUCGAGGAGUCGGUGUGCUGCAGGGAGUUGCACAAUGUGGAGGCACCGCUACACUGCCUACCGGCAAUUCACUUGGUGGGUUCACCAUAAGCUGGGGCGCGGUAACCGGGUGCCACUGCCCAGCUGCGCCGUGCAA
Molecule: unclassified non-coding RNA, 239 nt
Filed under: Ixodes scapularis (black-legged tick)
Lineage: Eukaryota; Metazoa; Arthropoda; Arachnida; Ixodida; Ixodidae
Description: p2X purinoceptor 7-like, transcript variant X2
Source: RNAcentral